RNAcentral lists this ribosomal RNA (506 nucleotides) under Pyrgopsella youngi. RNAcentral describes it as "partial 16S ribosomal RNA". It matches the Rfam family "Bacterial large subunit ribosomal RNA", at positions 1808 to 2593 of the family's 2925-position model. The record is from RNAcentral. Lineage: Eukaryota; Metazoa; Arthropoda; Thecostraca; Balanomorpha; Pyrgomatidae.
CAAAAACAUUUCUUCCUAGUUUAGGAAGUAAGGCCUGCUCACUGAAAAUUUAAAGAGCCGCAGUAUUCUAACUGUGCUAAGGUAGCAUAAUCAUUAGUCUUUUAAUUGGGGACUGGUAUGAAGGGUUUAACGAGAGAUUUACUUUUUUUGUUAUAUAAGUUGAAUUUAAUUUUUUAGUGAAAAAGCUAAAAUUUUUCAGAAAGACGAGAAGACCCUAUAGAGUUUUAUGUUAAAUUAUAUUUUUUAUUAUUAGAUUUUAAAAAAUUAAUAUGGUAAAUCAUUUUGUUGGGGCGACAUAAAAAUAUAAAAAACUUUUAUUUUUAAAAAUUUUUUUAAAAAUAUGUUCUGAUCCUUUAAAAAAGAUCAUAAGAAAAAAUUACCUUAGGGAUAACAGCGUAAUCUUUUUUGAGAGUUCUAAUCGACAAAAAGGUUUGCGACCUCGAUGUUGGACUAAAAUUUAGGCAAGGUGCAGCUGCUUUGUUUUAAGGUCUGUUCGACCUAUAAUA